AAGCUUGCUCUUCUACCGCCUGAGGAUGGAGUAGUCCUCCCGUCAGGAGGAUGCAGCAAUAAGGAACCAUCUUGGAAACAGAAAGCAGCUCUCAUCAGACAAGUGAACCUGCACAUGCCUUGAUUUUGGGAUUCCCAGACUCCAGAACUAUGGUGCUUGUAUUAGUCCAUUUUCACACUGCUGAUGAAGGCAUACCCGAGACUGGGAAGAAAAGGAGGUUUAAUGGACUUACAGUUCCACGUGGCUGGGGAGGCCUCACAAUCAUAGCAGAAGAAUUAUAUGCUGGAUAUACAAGAGACUCAUGACCCAAACUGGGACAACAGGGAAGGCUUCCUGGAAGAAGAGACAUCUGAGCCCAGACCUGGAAGAAUAAGAGCCAGGUCUCCUUUCUGAAAAGUCUCACUUCAAGCCAUGGUGUAUAAAGACACAAAGCUGACUUACUGCUGGGUACGUGUGUCCAACAGAAGCACUGUGUCUACCAAUGUCUAUGGAGAGGUCCUCUUCAGUGGUUUUCAAGUACACAGGAUUGUCAAAGUU
Pan troglodytes (chimpanzee) is the source of this 537-nucleotide long non-coding RNA. RefSeq lists it as uncharacterized. Lineage: Eukaryota; Metazoa; Chordata; Mammalia; Primates; Hominidae. The transcript has 4 exons. The record is from RefSeq and is a predicted model, not a curated record.